RNAcentral lists this long non-coding RNA (199 nucleotides) under Elaeis guineensis (African oil palm). RNAcentral describes it as "long non-coding RNA (EGUI_LNC070916)". The record is from RNAcentral. Lineage: Eukaryota; Viridiplantae; Streptophyta; Magnoliopsida; Arecales; Arecaceae.
GACUAGCUUAAUUGAUGACAUCCAGACCCUAACUCUUGUUUGUGUGACCCAGUUAGGUUCAUUUCUAUAUGGUAAUGAGAUAUGUCGUGAUCUCAUCAUCGACAUCAUCGAAACUCCUUUCGAUGGAUCAGAACUCUUCUGAUUCAGACAAUUAGAAUGAUCGAUCAUCAAGAUCAUUCUAAUUGCUUCCAAAAUCCAC